Molecule: long non-coding RNA, 560 nt
Filed under: Monodelphis domestica (gray short-tailed opossum)
Lineage: Eukaryota; Metazoa; Chordata; Mammalia; Didelphimorphia; Didelphidae
Description: lncRNA (ENSMODG00000044047.1)
Source: RNAcentral
AUGAAGAGUUGGGGGGGAAGGAGAACGGAGAGGGAGGGCGGGGGAGCAUCGCUCCGCGGGUUCGGGCCAAUCGCCGCGCGCUCCGAGUCGUCGCCCCACCCCCACCCCAUCCCCCGUCUCCCGGCUCCGCCUCCGCCGGUAAUAAUUAGUCUGCGGGAGGGGGGCGCCGCGUCAGCGCCGGGCGUCGGCCAAUCCCAGAGCUCUUCCCGGCGGUCGCGUCACGGGCCGAACAACCAAACAGAAAAGUUUAAUAAACAGCGGACGGAGGGGCCGGCGGUGGAGGCGGCAGCGGCGGGGCCGGAGCCGGAGCGAGUGGGGGGUUCGGCGGCCUCACCUGUCCCCAUUCACCCGCGGCGGGGGCGGCGGUGGUGGCGGGCGCGUCAGGCGGAGGGAGCCGCCGCCAGUGCUGUAAAUCGAAUACCUGUUUAUAUACAAUGUAACUUAGAUUGUAAAGAAACUUUUGGAAUGUUAUGAGUGGACCUGUGCAUUUGGUCACACACAGGAAUGAAACUGAAGUCUGCUGCAAUAAAACACUGAAGGCUUUAAAAUGUUUUCUUGCA